CUGACUCAUAUUAAUACUAAAGGUUUAAUUAAAAUAUUUCACAUAACCAAUAAUCAAGCCAAACAUAUUGUUUCUCAUUGUCCCACUUGUCAAUUAAGUAAUCAGCCUAAAUUUUCUGCAGGAGUUAAUCCUCAAGGUCUCUCACCAAAUGAAUUAAGGCAAAUGGAUGUUACACAUGUUCCUGAAUUUGGCAAGUUAGGUAUUGUACAUGUUUCUGUAGACAUUUAUUCUGGUCUUAUUAUGGGUACUCCAUCCUCUGGAGAAACUGUUAGACAUGUACUCUCACAUUUACACUCCUGUUUUGUAUGCAUGGUAGUCCUAGCCACCAUUAAAACUGACAAUGGCCCUGCUUACACUAGUCAUUCUUUUGCAGCUUUUUGUUUUUAAAUGGGACAUCAAGCACAUUACUGGCAUUCCUUAUAAUCCUCAAGGACAAGGUAUUGUAGAACAUACACAUCAAACUUUAAAGAAUCUGUUAUUAAAACAAAAGGGGGGAGGUAGACAAUCUCCCAAAGAUAGAAUAAAUCAAGGUUUUAUUUACCUUAAAUUUUUUGAAUAUUCAUGAGGAAGGUUAGUUAACAGCAAUAGAGAAGCAUUAGAAUGGGAGCUGAUAAUCAGACUCUUUCCCUCACCAGCCUAUCUGGUGGAAAGACGAUGUAGAAAAUAAAUGGAAAAAAGAAUGGGCAAAGGUGUGGGGGAGAGUUUUUGUAUUUUGACAGAUGACGGACAAACAGUCUGGAUUUCAAGCAAAAGAAUCAAGCCCAAAGUGGAAGACAUGUCCGGCACAGACCAUGACGUAGGGACAGCUGAAGAGAACAUACGAAGAAGCAGACGGGAUGUUGAACUGGACAUCUGUACCUAAAACAUCUGUAAAUGUUUUUCUUGCCAUCAUCUGCGUGUCUGGAGAAAACUCCGAAGAAGACAAGAAUCCAGAGACCAAUGCCUCGUUGUGAUGGCUGUUCAACUCCAUCAACUUUCUUCAAAAAAUAAAAAAGAGUUUGGCUUUUUUCCCAUUGACAAGAGUGAUGCCCAGAUGUGGGGCUCAGAGAAGACUCAGGACCGCUGAAGGAGUAGCCCAAACUCAGCAUUAGGAACAGGCAUGGCCAGCUUUUGGGCCUUCAAUCCCAAGGUUCUCCUUGGGCAGAGCUGAAUUCAUGAAUCGGGGCAGCCUCCAUUCUAUAAAAUAGAACCCGAGCUCCCACUGGGAAUGGCAGAGCGGUGGGUUUUGCACGGUGGGAACAGGAAACAGAACAAGAGGAAAAAAGUGGAUUGAAUAACGUCAGGUUAUUUCAAGGAGUGGGAGCAGCCGGAGGUCCUCACCAGACGCAGGUGCUGGCGCCAUGCUUCUCCUACAGCCUGCAGAACCCUGAGCUAAAUAAACCUGUCUUUGAUAUCAAUUAGCCAGCCUCAGCUUGCCUUUUUAGCAACACUAAACCGACAAAGGCAAGUAUGUAACCUUUUGGCACUCUCAGGA
This is a long non-coding RNA of Lemur catta (Ring-tailed lemur), 1474 nucleotides long. RefSeq lists it as uncharacterized. The record is from RefSeq and is a predicted model, not a curated record. The transcript has 5 exons. NCBI's taxonomy places the organism in Eukaryota, Metazoa, Chordata, Mammalia, Primates, Lemuridae.